This 95-nucleotide transfer RNA is filed under the name Vulcanisaeta distributa DSM 14429. It matches the Rfam family "tRNA". From Rfam's summary of the family: Transfer RNA (tRNA) molecules are approximately 80 nucleotides in length. Their secondary structure includes four short double-helical elements and three loops (D, anti-codon, and T loops). Lineage: Archaea; Thermoproteati; Thermoproteota; Thermoprotei; Thermoproteales; Thermoproteaceae. The record is from Rfam by way of RNAcentral.
GGGCCCGUAGCUUAGCCAGGUAGAGCGCCCUGGGGCGAAGGCCCCGCGUAAGGCUCAUAACCGGGAGGUCCCGGGUUCGAAUCCCGGCGGGCCCA